AAACCUCAGAGCUGCAGCGAGCGGCUGGGCAACCUUCCUGAGGACGGCGCCCCCUCGCCCAGCUCCAAGCUCCUCCCUGUCCCCACAGGAUAUCCCUGGACCUGGCGGGUCACUCUAGCCAGAGCAGCCUUCCACAGUCCUCCAGGGUCAGAGCUACAGUUGAGGACCCUGUAGGUGGUAGAGGUGCCCGGGGCCGGGCUCUGGGGCUGGCAGAGGCAAUGUCAGCGCCUGCCACCUGCGAUGUGGCCAGGGAACUUGGGGCUGAGCAAGGGCACAGAGGGGAGAGUGUGGCAUGAGGGAGAGGCGGGACCCCGCAGAGGCUCCCACACCUUCCAAGGCAGCAGAGGAGAAGGGGAGGCUGCCAACAGCCAGACCAGGGCUCCAGGGGGGCGGCAGGGGGCCCAGGGAGCUCCGGGAAAUGGGACAGCCACUGUCCACCUGCAGAACGCUGGCUUAAGCCUUGCAGACGGGCCCAGUGGGCAGGGUCGUGAUUUUCACUCCCGAAGGGCCUGGGGUGACAAGCCGGAGGUCUGGGAGAUGGGACUGGAGACCGUGUUCAGAAGGAGGAGCUCUCCACUCUGUUGGCAAAAGCCCUGGAGCUCCAGGCAUCCACAGUGACCGAAUGUUGGUAAAGUCCCAGAGGACGGGACCCAGGGCAUGCCCCUCACUGGACGGUGGCCUCGGGCCCUGCAGGGAGUUGAAUGUGGGGUCAUGAAGAUGUCAGAAUUGCGUCUGAAGAUGUCAGAAUUGCAUCUGAGGAGGCAGGUGGGCACACGUGAUGCAGGGACACGCCAUGCACCAGGGUGGGUUCAGAGCAGCAGAAGCUCUAGGGGGCACCUACAGGUUUCUAUAAAAUGGGGGAUUUAAGGGGCCUUGGCCUUCUGCGACUG
This 890-nucleotide long non-coding RNA is filed under the name Homo sapiens (human). RNAcentral's name for it is "HSALNT0392248". The record is from RNAcentral. Lineage: Eukaryota; Metazoa; Chordata; Mammalia; Primates; Hominidae.